UACAGAGGGUGCUAGCGUUGUUCGGAAUCAUUGGGCGUAAAGGGCGUGUAGGCGGUUUGUUAAGUCAUGUGUGAAAUCCCUCGGCUCAACCGGGGAACGACGCAUGAAACUGGCAAGCUAGAGUACCAAAGAGGGGGGUGGAAUUCCCGGUGUAGCGGUGAAAUGCGUAGAUAUCGGGAGGAAUACCGGUGGCGAAAGCGACUCUCUGGACGGCAACUGACGCUGAGGCACGAAAGCGUGGGGAGCAAACAGG
RNAcentral lists this ribosomal RNA (253 nucleotides) under uncultured bacterium. Its description in RNAcentral is "partial 16S ribosomal RNA". It matches the Rfam family "Bacterial small subunit ribosomal RNA", at positions 524 to 776 of the family's 1533-position model. The record is from RNAcentral.